UGCUAUGCCAAAUAUGUGGAGCUGAUUUUUAUUAUUAUUAUUUUUUUUGUCCACAGAAGGAGUGAACCGAGCCACAGUUAUAAUUGGCUUUUAAGCAUUGAACCCAGAGGCAUCCUAGUUAUUAUUAUUUUGAAAUCCAUCCCAAACAUACCCAAAAACCCAAAAUGCUAAAUCCCUAUCAUUAAGCCUUCUAACCCUCCACACUCGAGAAUCCAAAGCUUAUUUAGCCUUUUUCAUCCGUUUCUCUCGCUUUCCAGCCGCACUCGCUCUCGCCGUUCCAAAUCUUCAUGCUACUAUGCUAAGGCUUCUCCAUCUUAUUGCUGCCUAGGCUAACUUGUCAUUCGGUUUUUUGCUCAAAUGUGGCCAUGGUCAGUGUAACGGAAUUCCAUAAUAUCACUUCUUCGUGGGUUUGGUUUCAAAAGUGUGAAUUUGGCCUUCUGCAAUCAAGAAGAAGAAAUGGAUUUACACUUCAUAUUAUAAACAUUUGGGAUGAACAUUUUAGCGACAAGAAUAUUGAUUAUGUUUUCUAUAUGGACUUUAUUGUGUUCAGGGGCAAUCAAAUUUUGAAUGGUUUAUAAGCUUGUUUAUGAUUAAUUUAUUACAAAUUUAUCAAGAUGACCUCUCCGCUAGAAGAAUGCUUGACAGAUACUAAUGCAUUUAUGGAACUUGCCUUACAGCAGGCAAAAAUAGCUUUGGAUGUCCUUGAAGUUCCUGUUGGCUGCGUGAUUGUUGAGGAUGGAAAGGUUAUAGCAUUUGGGAGGAAUCGAACUACUGAGACGCGGAAUGCCACAAGGCAUGCAGAAAUGGAAGCUAUAGAUGUUCUUCUGGAACAGUGGCAGAAAAAUGGAAUUUCAGUGUCUGAAGUAGCUACAAAAUUCUCAAGCUGUAGCCUAUAUGUUACAUGUGAACCAUGCAUAAUGUGUGCCUCAGCUUUAUCAUUUCUAGGUAUAAGGGAGGUAUAUUAUGGAUGUGCAAAUGAUAAAUUUGGAGGAUGUGGAUCAAUAUUGGCAUUACAUUCAGGCGACAGUAUAAAUAAUGAAGUGACACCAGGAAAGGGUUUCAAAUGUACGGGUGGCAUAAUGGCAUCAGAAGCAGUCCUUCUUCUGCGAACAUUUUAUGAACAAGGAAAUCCAAAUGGUUGGCAAAAACAGCUGGAACUGGCGAUUCUCUGUGCCUAUCGAAUAAAUUAUUUUCUCUUAUGAUGAUGGUGUCGAACAAGUCAUAACAUCUAUUUGUACCUGAUCUUACUUGCCGUCAAUGCACAAGGAAAAUGAGCAGCACCAUUUAACCAUUGGCUGUUUCAAAGUGAUGCAUUGACAAACAUACUGGUGUCAUAGUAAAGUGAAUAAACUAUACAACAUCUUCCUGUGGUCAUAUAUAUGUCCGCAUAAACAGCGUGUAAAGGUGGUAAGAUGUCUUGGUUUUUGCUAGGUGCAUCCUUAAGACAUCAGGUUUGCUUCAUUGUUCUUCUGGUUCGUUAGCGUGUUGGUUGUGAAUUUGAAAGCCAAUUAACAGAGCCAGAGUAUCUAUUGCAAAAAGAAACGGGGCAUCUUGCCUUGAAGGUUGGCAAAAAUAACUAGCGAUUCUCCAUGCCUAUGAAAUCGAUUUUAUACUGUUUUGGUGAUGGCCUCGAACAAGUCGCAACAUCCACCCGUGCUUAAUCUUACUCUCAAUUGUACAAGGAAAAUGAGUAGCACAGGUUAACCCAGGCUGUUUCAUAGUGAUGCAUUGACAGCCAUGUACUGAUGGCAAAAUAAAGGGACUAAAAUACAAUAAAAAGGAAAGUGAAUAAGCUGAAACCCUAGAGGAGGCACCAAACUCUCGGGCUGAGACACAUGGUGUUCAACACAAAUAUGAAAAGCCAAUUAGCAGAAUCAUCUAUUGCAAAAAUAAAUGGCGUAUCUUGCCUUGAAGGUUUGCAAAAAUAACUUAAACUAGCGAUUCUCCGUGCAUAUCAAAUUGCUCUUGCAUUGUUUUGAUGACAGCCUUGAACAAGUUGCUACAUCUAUUUGUACUUGGUCUUACUCGGUGAAUGUGUAAGGAAAAUGGGUUGCACAGUUUAGCCAUGGGCCGUUUCACAGUGAUUCCUUGACAAGCUUGUGUUGGUGGCAUAAUGAAGUGAACAAGCUUUACAACAUCUUUCCUUACUCAUCUUUAUGGCUAUAUUUUUAAUCCCCAUUGAUAGUCUUCAAAGGAUGGUAUGCUAUCUGAGUUUUGUUUACUAGGCGCAUUCUCAAGGCAUCAGGUUUGCUUUAUUGUUCUUCUGGUUCGUUAGUAUGUGUUUUUGUGGUGUUUAACUAGUUUUGGUUGUGAAUGUGAAAGCCAAUUAGCAGAGCAAGAGCAUCUAUUGCAAAGAUAAAUGAUGUAUCUUGCGUUGAAGGUUGCCAAAAUUAACUCCACUAGAGAUUCUCCGUGCCUAAUGAAUUAAUUUUAUGCUGUUUUGAUAAUGACCUCGAACAAGUCGCAACAGCUAUUUGUACUUGAUCUUACUCCCAGUAAAUGCACGUGGAAAAUGGGUAGCAAAGUUUAGCCAUGAGCUGUUAUACAGGGGUGCAUUGACAAGUAUAUCUGGUCCGGUGGCAUAAUAAAGUGAAUAAGCUAUGCAUAUUUGCUUGCUCAUCUAUAUUGCUAUGUUUUUAAUCUUCAUAGAAAGUCUGUAAAGGUGGUAAGAUGUCUAAGUUUUGCUUGGUGCAUCUUUUAAGACAUCAGGUUUGCUUUAUUGUUCUAAUUCAUUGGCAUGUGUUUGUGUAUUGUUUGACAAGUGUCAGGCGGUGAUAGUUGUAAUUUUUUUUAUUGCUUGUCACUUCAUUUUCGUGUGAUGUUCUUUUUUACCAAAAAAAGAAAGGUGUUUGGUUGUGAAUGUGAAAGCCAGUUUGCAGAGCAAGAGCAUCUAUUGCAAAAAUCAAGGGUGCAUCUUGCCUUGAGAAUUGGCGAAAAUAACUGGCGAUUCUCCGUGCCUAUCAAAUUGAUUUUAUACCAUUUUGAUGAUGGCCUUGAACAAGUCGCAACUUCUAUUUGUACUUAAUCUUACUCCCAGUAAAUAUACAAGGAAAAUGAGUAGCAGCGUAGCACAUGCUAGCCUUUGGGCUGUUUCACAUUGAUGCAUUGACAAGCAUGUACUGGUGGUAUGAUAAAGUGGGGCUUGGCUUUGCUCUGCUGACAGAAUGCACCUCUGCAAUUUCACCGCAUUAUGACAAAAAUCUGGACUGUCCAAAUAAAUUUGGAUAUUCCAGAUUUAAUGUUUUAAUUUUAAUUUUAAUUUUAUAUUUAUUAAAAUAAAAAAUUUAUAAAUCUGAUCACCAAGUUGCACAGUUUUAAUAUAAAUUGUUCGAAUUAAAUGUUAAAAUUUUUUAUGAUUUUUAUAAGCUGAUUAUUUAGGUGUACUUUGGUUAGUGUAAAUUUAAUAUUAAAAUUUUUAUAAUUUUUAUAAAUUUUUACUUUUAAUCAAGCCAUUCAUAUUUAAUCUAAAUUGUUCAGCUUGGUGAUUAAAUUUAUUAAUUGUUUUUAUAAAUUUGGAUCAUUCAUAUUAAACCUGAAGCAUCUAGACUGUUUAAUAAAUUUAUCAAAAAAAUUUAUAAAUAUGGACUAUUUAUAUUAAACCUGAAUUUUUCAGACAGGUGCUUAAAUUUAUUAAAAAUUUUAUAAAUUUUUUAUUUUGAUAAAUAUAAAAUAAAAAUUAAAGCAUUAAAUCUGGACGAUUCAGGUUUUUUUAUUUUUUAAAUGCAUCUAAGUUGCAGAGGUGUGUUGUGUCAGCAGAGCAAAGGCAGGUGCGAUAAAGUGCAGCCAACAUGCUGGAUUGUUCUUUUCUAUUUUUAACUGUUAUUUAAACAUGACUCCGGCUGCUAUACAAGCUUGAAUGUUUCAACUUUCAACUACAGAGAUGAUUAAAAGUACUAUUGAGUCAAAGCUCAUCAGAAAAAAGUUUAACUUGGUUCAAUAGUUUCGUUAGUAGAAACUGUUAAUGAAUCAGUAUAUCAUAGCAUGUAGGAUAAGUACUGUUGCUAAACUUUAUUAUUUAUUCACGUGACUGUUAAUUUUGCUUUCCUGAUCUUGUGUUUGGAAGGAAAAAACAAAAAGCAUAAUCCCAGUGUUACUGCAUGUGGUUUGAGGCUAUUUGAUAGAAUAAUUUAUACUGCUAAAAGGCUUGAAAUUGAUAGUUGACACUGGAGAAUUUUGAUUAUGGGUUGGACAUGAUCAGGGGACUAGUAGUUUUUCCCUCCCUCUUGAUUCCUAUUUAUGAUUCAUUUUUAUUUCUUCUCAGCUCCAAAGCCUCACAGGCCUCUAACUCGCCAGCCAUGAAGUUGAAAUUGAAAUGAUAAUGUUGUUAAUGCUACUGCAUACACUCGGGUUCCUUGGUGUGUGAUUGUUCAUUCACGCAGAAGAAGCAACCGAUGUAAAGAUAAAGCAUUCGCAUGAUACAGCAUAACAUUUUGGAUCAAUGAAAAAUGAAUCGAAUGUCAUUACAUGAGUGAAUGUUGCUGCAUUAGAAAUGCAAAUUUAUUGCCAAAAAGAUUUAAAGCUUUCCAGUUUCACUAAUAUUAAAAUGUUACGUGUCUUUUUUUAGUCUUCAUUUUUUUGGAGUUGUCACCAUUGCCUCUCAUGCUCGAAUGCUCAAUCUAGAUGGUUGACAUCCUUUACUGGAGGUUGUUGCAUGUGACUAUUUGUAUAAGAAAUAACAGCUAUGGUAUAAGAAAUUCACAAGUAGCAUCGAAAACAUCAACAAUUUAUAGCAUGAAGUGUCAUGUUGAAUUUGUUAA
Prosopis cineraria is the source of this 4757-nucleotide RNA transcript. It is a transcript of the gene named tRNA-specific adenosine deaminase TAD2, with no coding region annotated. Lineage: Eukaryota; Viridiplantae; Streptophyta; Magnoliopsida; Fabales; Fabaceae. The transcript has 9 exons. The record is from RefSeq and is a predicted model, not a curated record.